Molecule: long non-coding RNA, 767 nt
Filed under: Piliocolobus tephrosceles (Ugandan red Colobus)
Lineage: Eukaryota; Metazoa; Chordata; Mammalia; Primates; Cercopithecidae
Description: lncRNA (ENSPTEG00000000847.1)
Source: RNAcentral
UAUAUAUAUAUAUAUAUAUAUAUAUAUAAAUUAAAAGUAAUUUACAUGUUUAACAUAUAAUUAAAAACUUUUAGAAUUUUAUUUUAUAUUAUAUAUAUAUAAUAAAAAUGAAUAGCAAAGUUUUAAAUCAGUUUAGUUACAUGUACUAAUUUUGUGAUAAUGUAAUUUUUUUAAUUUUUUUUUUUGUUUUUAUUUAAUUUAACUUUUUAUUUCAUUUAUAAUAUUAUAUCUUAUAAUUAAUUUCUAAAUAUAUGCUAGAACAUAAUAAAAUAGUGGGUAUAAACAAGAAUUGGUAAUGUAGUAAACUAUGUUUUUAAACCCAAAUCAAUAACAGUAACAAUAAAAAAAAAUUAAUAAGCAAAAAACAAUUUUAAUUAUAGUUUAUUGUUUUGUUUGUUUAAAAAUGCAAUUUAUAUUAAAGUUCGUACUAUUCCUGGCCCUUUCCAGUUUCCUAUGUGUUUGCAAUGCACAAAAAUUCUAUUUAAGUAGUAAUUAUGGUAGAAGUUAUAGUGCGAAUGGAAAUAGUAUUUAUAACAAUACGAAUUUCCUAAAAAAAGAUUAUCCUGAAGGAUGUACAAGAAAAAAUGAACAGGAUAUAAUAAACGGAGCAAAACUUUCUAAAAAUGACGAUAAAAAAAUAGAAGGAGAUAACUUAAAAGAAAAUGAUGAUAACGGUCAAAAAAAUAUGGAAAACCCAUUAUACAGUGUUUUACUUCUUUUAUUGGAUGUAGUUUUAUAAACUGUAAUAAACAAUGUACAAGAGAACA